This 948-nucleotide long non-coding RNA is filed under the name Sorghum bicolor (sorghum). RNAcentral's name for it is "long non-coding RNA (SBIC_LNC014612)". Lineage: Eukaryota; Viridiplantae; Streptophyta; Magnoliopsida; Poales; Poaceae. The record is from RNAcentral.
CAGUUAAUUAAUUACUUAUAACUAGUAUAUUUAAUCAUUCUCCAUCAUUUCUCAUCAACUCGUUCAAAUAUUAAAAGCGUACGUGUGGCGCGCGCAAACAUGCAUGGGCCAUGCACGCGAUCGAUCGAGAAUCUACACCACAUGGACGGCCGGGCUGUGGCGGCUCACGAAGACGUCGACCACGUCUCUGUUGGGCAGCAUCGCCGGCGGCGCGGCUGCUUCAGCAGCGCAGCUCCUGUUGGGAACCGCCGCCAUCUGGGCGACGACUGGGUGCACCCCGGAGCUCCUCUCGGGGAGUGCGGGGCUGAGCUUGGCGAUGUUGACGAGGACGUGCUCGUCUGCAGCUGAGGGAAGCUUGCCGCCGGCAUCCUUGCCCUCGGCAACCGCUACCGGCGUCUUGUUCAUGUACAACACGUACAGCACCAUCUGGACCACGCCAAAGGUGAACCCAAGGAUGUUUGGAAGCUGCAUGCAGAGAUAUGAGAGUUGUUUAUCGUCAGUAGGACACAUCACAAAAUGCUAAUAAAGAAAUAAAGAGCAAUUAGAUACCAUGGUGGUUAAAACAAAUUAACUUAAAAUAAUUAGCGCGACGUAUUUGUCCAAUCAUAGACUAACUAGGAUCAAAAGAUUCGUCUCGCGAUUUACAAUCAAACUGUGUAAUUAGUUUUUGUUUUCGUCUAUAUUUAAUGUUUCAUGCAUGUGCCGCAAGAUUCGACGUGACAGUGAAUCUUAAAAACUUUUUAAAUUUUGGGAUAAACUAAACAAGGCCUUAGAUACCAUGGUGGUUGCAGCAAAUUAAAUUAAAUUAAAAUAAUUACCGCAACAUAUUUGUCCUUGAUGAGGAGGCCGUAGAGGAACCAGACGACGGCGCUGAGGGUGAGAGAGAGAGAGAGCGAGAAGGGCAUGUACUCCACGCUCUUGGUCUGGAUCACACGCUUCUGCACGUAC